UUGUCUUUUAAUUGAAGACUGGAACAAAAGAUUAAACAAUUUAAUUAAUAUAUUAAAACUUAAAUUUAUUUUUUAUGUAAAAAAACAUUUAUAAAUUAGGAAGACGACAAGACCCUAUUAAACUUAACUUAAGUUAAACUGGGGCAGUUAAUCAAUUAUUAUUUUAAUAAAUAUAWAAKAAYAAAAGAUCCAAUAAAAUUGAUUAYAYGAUCAAGUUACUAUAGGGAUAACAGCGCAAUAUUAAUCUAAAGAUCUUAUUUAAAUAAAAGAUUACGACCUCGAUGUUGAAUUAAUAAACUARUUAUCGCAAUAGAUAAAUGAAGUAAGUCCGUUCGACUUUUAAAAAAUUACA
RNAcentral lists this ribosomal RNA (352 nucleotides) under Philisca robinson. RNAcentral describes it as "partial 16S ribosomal RNA". The record is from RNAcentral. Lineage: Eukaryota; Metazoa; Arthropoda; Arachnida; Araneae; Anyphaenidae.